GAUGAACGCUGGCGGUAUGCUUAACACAUGCAGGUCGAACGGUCACUUCGGUGAUAGUGGCGGACGGGUGAGUAACGCGUGAGAAUCUGUCUUCAGGUCGGGGACAACAGUUAGAAAUGACUGCUAAUACCGGAUGUGCCUUUGGGUGAAAGAUUUAUUGCCUGAAAAAGAGCUCGCGUCAGAUUAGCUAGUAGGUGGUGUAAGAGACUACCUAGGCUCCGAUCUGUAGCUGGUCUGAGAGGACGAUCAGCCACACUGGAACUGAGACACGGUCCAGACUCCUACGGGAGGCAGCAGUGGGGAAUUUUCCGCAAUGGGCGAAAGCCUGACGGAGCAAUACCGCGUGAGGGACGAAGGCUUUUGGGUCGUAAACCUCUUUUCUCAAGGAAGAUGAUGACGGUACUUGAGGAAUAAGCAUCGGCUAACUCUGUG
RNAcentral lists this ribosomal RNA (432 nucleotides) under uncultured bacterium. RNAcentral's name for it is "partial 16S ribosomal RNA". It matches the Rfam family "Bacterial small subunit ribosomal RNA", at positions 28 to 507 of the family's 1533-position model. The record is from RNAcentral.